Molecule: unclassified non-coding RNA, 399 nt
Filed under: uncultured Inocybe
Lineage: Eukaryota; Fungi; Basidiomycota; Agaricomycetes; Agaricales; Cortinariaceae
Description: sequence contains ITS2
Rfam family: 5.8S ribosomal RNA (bases 1-152)
Source: RNAcentral
AACUUUUAGCAACGGAUCUCUUGGCUCGCAUCGAUGAAGAACGCAGCGAAAUGCGAUAAGUAAUGUGAAUUGCAGAAUUCAGUGAAUCAUCGAAUCUUUGAACGCAUCUUGCGCUCCUUGGUAUUCCGAGGAGCAUGCCUGUUUGAGUGUCAUUCGACUUGUCAACUGCAUCAAUUGUGAUGUGGCUUGGAUGUGGGGGUUUUUGCAGGCUCUCUUUCAUGAGGUCGGCUCCCCUGAAAUGUAUUAGUGGUAUCUGAGCAGAACUACUACCGUCAGGUGUGAUAAAUUAUCUAUGCCUUUGGGUAUGCUGCAUCAACAGAUUGUGCUGCUCAUAAUGAAACAAUUGUUUGACGAAUUUGACCUCAAAUCAGGUAGGACUACCCGCUGAACUUAAGCAUA